RNAcentral lists this ribosomal RNA (482 nucleotides) under uncultured bacterium. RNAcentral's name for it is "bacterial SSU rRNA". It matches the Rfam family "Bacterial small subunit ribosomal RNA", at positions 28 to 506 of the family's 1533-position model. The record is from RNAcentral.
GAUGAACGCUAGCGGCAGGCUUAAUACAUGCAAGUCGAGGGGCAGCACGGUUAGCAAUAACUGGUGGCGACCGGCGCACGGGUGCGUAACACGUAUACAAUCUACCUUAAACAGGGGGAUAGCCUUUCGAAAGAGAGAUUAAUACCCCGUAAUAAAUUGAACGGCAUCGUUUGAUUUUGAAAGCUCCGGCGGUUUGAGAUGAGUAUGCGUCUGAUUAGCUAGUUGGUGAGGUAACGGCUCACCAAGGCGACGAUCAGUAGGGGAUCUGAGAGGACUAACCCCCACACUGGUACUGAGACACGGACCAGACUCCUACGGGAGGCAGCAGUAAGGAAUAUUGGUCAAUGGAGGCAACUCUGAACCAGCCAUGCCGCGUGCAGGAUGACGGCCCUAUGGGUUGUAAACUGCUUUUAUACAAGAGAAAACCCUGGUACGUGUACCAGGUUGAUAGUAUUGUAAGAAUAAGCAUCGGCUAACUUCGU